Molecule: ribosomal RNA, 406 nt
Filed under: uncultured bacterium
Lineage: Bacteria
Description: partial 16S ribosomal RNA
Rfam family: Bacterial small subunit ribosomal RNA
Source: RNAcentral
AUUGAACGCUGGCGGCAGGCCUAACACAUGCAAGUCGAACGAGAGGAGGACGGGAGAGUAAGGUGUGGGAAACUGCCUGAUGGAGGGGGAUAAAUACUGGAAACGGAAGCUACUACCGCAAACCAUCGGAAGUGCCCAGAUGGGAUUAGCUAGUAGGUGGGGUAAAGGCUCACCUAGGAGACGAUCCCUAGCUGGUCUGAGAGGAUGACCAGCCACACUGGAACUGAUACACGGUCCAGACUCCUACGGGAGGCAGCAGUGGGGAAUCUUGCACAAUGGGCGCAAUCCUGAUGCAGCCAUGCCGCGUGUAUGAAGAAGGCCUUCGGGUUGUAAAGUACUUUCAGCGGGGAGGCGUUACCCGCAGAAGAAGCACCGGCUAACUCCGUGCCAGCAGCCGCGGUAAUUC